AAGUAAUUGACCCAGCUGGGGUGCCAUUAC
Molecule: non-coding RNA, 30 nt
Filed under: Rattus norvegicus (Norway rat)
Lineage: Eukaryota; Metazoa; Chordata; Mammalia; Rodentia; Muridae
Source: RNAcentral